This is a long non-coding RNA of Thunnus maccoyii (southern bluefin tuna), 325 nucleotides long. RefSeq lists it as uncharacterized. The transcript is spliced from 3 exons. The record is from RefSeq and is a predicted model, not a curated record. Lineage: Eukaryota; Metazoa; Chordata; Actinopteri; Scombriformes; Scombridae.
CAAAGUCACACACCACUGCCUGCUAAUGGAUGAUAAGACGGGGAAAACCUACUCCAUGGCAUCACAACAGACUGCCCGGCUCCUGUCUUGGAUGUCCAUCAAUUGCAUCCUCCAGGCGUCGGCCACCUGCUGCUAAGCCUUUGCCCCACAGGUGACCUUGUGAAAAGACAACUUUCCGCCCUGACCUCCUAUCCAGGCGAGUCAGACGGAUAGCUGAUGCCGCACUCUCAACGACACCCAUAAAAGAAAGGCUCUGAUGGCAAGCUGGCAGCUAAGAACUUACUGGCAAGCUUAAGGUUCGAGCAUCCCGACGAGCUGCUGCCGG